Molecule: ribosomal RNA, 649 nt
Filed under: Allobosea sp. EECC-685
Lineage: Bacteria; Pseudomonadati; Pseudomonadota; Alphaproteobacteria; Hyphomicrobiales; Alloboseaceae
Description: bacterial SSU rRNA
Rfam family: Bacterial small subunit ribosomal RNA
Source: RNAcentral
AGUAACACGUGGGAACGUACCUUUCGGUUCGGAAUAAUUCAGGGAAACUUGGACUAAUACCGGAUACGCCCUUCGGGGGAAAGAUUUAUCGCCGAAAGAUCGGCCCGCGUCUGAUUAGCUAGUUGGUGAGGUAAAGGCUCACCAAGGCGACGAUCAGUAGCUGGUCUGAGAGGAUGAUCAGCCACAUUGGGACUGAGACACGGCCCAAACUCCUACGGGAGGCAGCAGUGGGGAAUAUUGGACAAUGGGCGCAAGCCUGAUCCAGCCAUGCCGCGUGAGUGAUGAAGGCCUUAGGGUUGUAAAGCUCUUUUGUCCGGGAAGAUAAUGACUGUACCGGAAGAAUAAGCCCCGGCUAACUUCGUGCCAGCAGCCGCGGUAAUACGAAGGGGGCUAGCGUUGCUCGGAAUCACUGGGCGUAAAGGGCGCGUAGGCGGACUUUUAAGUCGGAGGUGAAAGCCCAGGGCUCAACCCUGGAAUUGCCUUCGAUACUGGGAGUCUUGAGUUCGGAAGAGGUUGGUGGAACUGCGAGUGUAGAGGUGAAAUUCGUAGAUAUUCGCAAGAACACCGGUGGCGAAGGCGGCCAACUGGUCCGAAACUGACGCUGAGGCGCGAAAGCGUGGGGAGCAAACAGGAUUAGAUACCCUGGUAG